This 294-nucleotide ribosomal RNA is filed under the name Salmonella enterica subsp. enterica serovar Kentucky. RNAcentral's name for it is "partial 23S ribosomal RNA". It matches the Rfam family "Bacterial large subunit ribosomal RNA", at positions 1468 to 1757 of the family's 2925-position model. Lineage: Bacteria; Pseudomonadati; Pseudomonadota; Gammaproteobacteria; Enterobacterales; Enterobacteriaceae. The record is from RNAcentral.
GGGGACGGAGAAGGCUAUGUUGGCCGGGCGACGGUUGUCCCGGUUUAAGCGUGUAGGUGUGUGUUCCAGGUAAAUCCGGUUCACUUUAACACUGAGGCGUGAUGACGAGGCACUACGGUGCUGAAGCAACAAAUGCCCUGCUUCCAGGAAAAGCCUCUAAGCAUCAGGUAACAUCAAAUCGUACCCCAAACCGACACAGGUGGUCAGGUAGAGAAUACCAAGGCGCUUGAGAGAACUCGGGUGAAGGAACUAGGCAAAAUGGUGCCGUAACUUCGGGAGAAGGCACGCUGACAC